CAGUAACGGCGAGUGAAGCGGCAACAGCUCAAAUUUGAAAUCUGGCUCCCCCCUGGGGGGCCCGAGUUGUAAUUUGGAGAGGAUGCUUUGGGCGCGGCGCCUUCCGAGUUCCUUGGAACAGGACGCCAGAGAGGGUGAGAGCCCCGUACGGUCGGACGCCUAGCCCGUGCAAAGCUCCUUCGACGAGUCGAGUAGUUUGGGAAUGCUGCUCAAAAUGGGAGGUAAAUUUCUUCUAAAGCUAAAUACCGGCCAGAGACCGAUAGCGCACAAGUAGAGUGAUCGAAAGAUGAAAAGCACUUUGAAAAGAGGGUUAAACAGCACGUGAAAUUGUUGAAAGGGAAGCGCUUGUGGCCAGACGUGCGCCCCGCGGACCACCCGUCGCUCUGCGGCGGGGCACGCCGCGGCGGCGCAGGCCAGCAUCGGCUCUCCCAGGGGGACAAAGGCCGCGGGAACGUAGCUCCUUCGGGAGUGUUAUAGCCCGCGGCGUCAUACCUCUGGGGGGGCCGAGGACCGCGCCUUCGGGCAAGGAUGCUGGCGUAAUGGCCACCAGCGACCCGUCUUGAAACACGGACCAAGGAGUCAAGCAUUGGGGCGAGUGUUUGGGUGACAAACCCGCACGCGAAAUGAAAGUGAACGCAGGUGGGAGCCUCCGGGCGCACCACCGACCGAUCCUGAUGUUUUCGGAUGGAUUUGAGUAGGAGCCUUGCCGCUUGGACCCGAAAGA
Molecule: ribosomal RNA, 724 nt
Filed under: Raffaelea sp. AC-2016
Lineage: Eukaryota; Fungi; Ascomycota; Sordariomycetes; Ophiostomatales; Ophiostomataceae
Description: eukaryotic LSU rRNA
Rfam family: Eukaryotic large subunit ribosomal RNA
Source: RNAcentral